CCCUUAGAUGUUCUGGGCCGCACGCGCGCUACACUGUUCGACGCAGCGAGUCUUAACCUUGACCGAAAGGUUUGGGUAAUCUUCAGCAAAGUCGAACGUGAUGGGGAUCGAUCAUUGCAAUUAUUGAUCGUGAACGAGGAAUUCCUAGUAAGUGCAAGUCAUCAGCUUGCGCUGAUUACGUCCCUGCCCUUUGUACACACCGCCCGGCGCUACUACCGAUUGAAUGGUUUAGUGAGAUCUCUGGAUUGACGCUGGCUAGGGGGCGACCCUUGGCCAGACUGUUGAGAAACUGCUCAAACUUGAUCAUUUAGAGGAAGUAAAAGUCGUAACA
RNAcentral lists this ribosomal RNA (331 nucleotides) under uncultured eukaryote. RNAcentral describes it as "partial 18S ribosomal RNA". It matches the Rfam family "Eukaryotic small subunit ribosomal RNA", at positions 1470 to 1796 of the family's 1831-position model. The record is from RNAcentral.